ACGGAAGGCAGCAGUGGGGAAUAUUGCACAAUGGGGGAAACCCUGAUGCAGCGACGCCGCGUGAGUGAAGAAGUAUUUCGGUAUGUAAAGUUCUAUCAGCAGGGAAGAAAAUGACGGUACCUGACUAAGAAGCCCCGGCUAACUACGUGCAAGCAGCCGCGGUAAUACGUAGGGGGCAAGCGUUAUCCGGAUUUACUGGGUGUAAAGGGAGCGUAGACGGCGAGGCAAGUCUGAAGUGAAAGCUCGGGGCUCAACCCGGGAACGGCUUUGGAAACUGUUUUGCUAGAGUGCAGGAGAGGCAAGUGGAAUUCCUAGUGUAGCGGUGAAAUGCUUAGAUAUUAGGAGGAACACCAGUGGCGAAGGAGGCUGCUGGACUGUAACUGACUUUGAGGCUCGAAAGCGUGGGGAGCAAACAGGAUUAGAUACCCUGGUA
This 433-nucleotide ribosomal RNA is filed under the name uncultured Lachnospiraceae bacterium. RNAcentral's name for it is "partial 16S ribosomal RNA". It matches the Rfam family "Bacterial small subunit ribosomal RNA", at positions 341 to 792 of the family's 1533-position model. The record is from RNAcentral. Lineage: Bacteria; Bacillati; Bacillota; Clostridia; Lachnospirales; Lachnospiraceae.